UUAUCCGAUUAAUCGUGACAUUGCAAUAGUCUAAUGGUGGGUGCUUCCUUCCUUGUUUGUUUUGAGUUUGAAUAUGUCGUGCUUCUUUUAUAUGGGGUUCCUACACAGAAAACUUGAAAUAGAAACAAACAAAUAUAUAAAAUCGACUGUUAGUCGUACUCCUAAAACAAUUUAACAAUUAUCCAAAAAUAAUUACAAUCCCAAAAAUAAAAAAUAAAAAUUUAGUCGUCCUUCACCUCAUCAAAGUCCAUCUUUUCAUUCUUUCUCCU
RNAcentral lists this long non-coding RNA (269 nucleotides) under Gossypium raimondii (Peruvian cotton). RNAcentral describes it as "long non-coding RNA (GRAI_LNC005381)". The record is from RNAcentral. Lineage: Eukaryota; Viridiplantae; Streptophyta; Magnoliopsida; Malvales; Malvaceae.